RNAcentral lists this transfer RNA (73 nucleotides) under Cordylochernes scorpioides. RNAcentral's name for it is "tRNA-Thr". Lineage: Eukaryota; Metazoa; Arthropoda; Arachnida; Pseudoscorpiones; Chernetidae. The record is from RNAcentral.
GUGCAGGGAUGGGAAUCGAACCCACUGUGUUCCGCUUACCGGGCAGAUGCCAUGUCCACUAGGCUACCCUGCA